This 438-nucleotide ribosomal RNA is filed under the name Dulinius conchatus. RNAcentral's name for it is "partial 16S ribosomal RNA". The record is from RNAcentral. Lineage: Eukaryota; Metazoa; Arthropoda; Insecta; Hemiptera; Tingidae.
UUCUUUUUGUUGUUUAAAUAUAAAGUAUAACCUGCUCAAUGAUUUUUAAAUAGCCGCGGUUUAAAUCGUGCAAAGGUAGCAUAAUAAUUUGUCCUUUAAUUGAGGUCUUGUAUGAAAGGUUUAAUGAAAGAGAUUCUUUUUUAAUUAAUAAUUUUAGAAAUUUAUUUUUUUGUUAAAAAGCAAAAAUAAUUAUAAGGGACGAUAAGACCCUAUAGAAUUUUAUAAAUUUUAUUUUAAUUAACUUAUUAUGAAUUUAAUUUUUGUUUUUUAUGAAAAUUUAUUUAGUUGGGGUGACUGUUAUAAUUUGAUAACUAUAAUUAAAAUUUAUUCAUAAAUAAAUGUUUUAAUGAUCCUUUAAUAAAGAUUAAAAGAUCAAAUUACCUUAGGGAUAACAGCGUAAUUUUUUUUGGGAGUUCAUAUUUAAAAAAAAGUUUGCGA